AGAAGUUUCGAUCUUGAGUCGUCUUCUUGCCCAUCACCGAUUCGCUACACAGGAGGUUUCCAAGAAGUGUUCACCAUGGAGAAAGUUUACUUCAAAUUGUUUGUUUUCUGUGCAACCAUUUCCCUUGCAUAUUCGUUCAUGUGUUACAAAUGUGGUCCAAUUAAAGAAGAUCAAGAGUACUCCGCGGAUCAGUGCGAAAAAGAUCAGAUAAAGGUCAACUGCACCGGCGACGACAACACUUGUUUCAAGUUCCAUGACGAGAGUACCGAUGGUAUUGUAUAGGAAUCGAGAGUAUGUAUGUAAAAAAGCUAUUGCGAAGAGUCGAAGUAAAUAUGCUCAGAUAAAGACAAGAUGAAAAAGGCCAAGGUAAAAGAGUGCCAAGCCGCUUGCUGCGUCAGUACUGGAGACACACCCUGCAACGGCGCCUCCAUCGCCUCCAACAGCGUGAUGACCAUGAUGAUGGUAGCAGCGUUGGGCAGUUUAAAGCUGUUCUAAACACACAAUCCACACACAGGCAGUAGUCAACCUUUCUGGUUAGCUGUAUCGACUCCGUCUGCCUUUAAUUUGUUUUUAGUGAGUAACAUUGAUUUGAUAAAGGCUGGCAGAAAUAUUUACCUCGUGUAUCUAAUGGGUAUCAAAAAAAGAAUCAGUUGUGUUAUCGAUAUUUUUUAGACGUUCUAAUAUAGAUCAUGAACUUUGAUCAUUGGAGUACCUACCUUGUAUGCAGUUUACCUAGAGCUUAGUACUGUAGAUUGCAUUGAACUUUUAGUGGCAUUUUAGCACUAUUUUGGGUUCAAAACUGCGCUUAAUAAAUGUUUGUCAACUUUGUAAUAAGUUAA
Orbicella faveolata is the source of this 839-nucleotide long non-coding RNA. The record is from RefSeq and is a predicted model, not a curated record. Lineage: Eukaryota; Metazoa; Cnidaria; Anthozoa; Scleractinia; Merulinidae.